UUAAGCGACUAAGCGUACACGGUGGAUGCCCUGGCAGUCAGAGGCGAUGAAGGACGUGCUAAUCUGCGAAAAGCGUCGGUAAGGUGAUAUGAACCGUUAUAACCGGCGAUGUCCGAAUGGGGAAACCCAGUGCAAUUCGUUGCACUAUCGUUAACUGAAUACAUAGGUUAACGAGGCGAACCGGGGGAACUGAAACAUCUAAGUACCCCGAGGAAAAGAAAUCAACCGAGAUUCCCCCAGUAGCGGCGAGCGAACGGGGAGCAGCCCAGAGUCUGAAUCAGCUUGUGUGUUAGUGGAACGGUCUGGAAAGUCCGACGGUACAGGGUGAUAGUCCCGUACACCAAAAUGCACAGGCUGUGAACUCGAAGAGUAGGGCGGGACACGUGGUAUCCUGUCUGAAUAUGGGGGGACCAUCCUCCAAGGCUAAAUACUCCUGACUGACCGAUAGUGAACCAGUACCGUGAGGGAAAGGCGAAAAGAACCCCGGCGAGGGGAGUGAAAAAGAACCUGAAACCGUGUACGUACAAGCAGUGGGAGCACCUUCGGGUGUGACUGCGUACCUUUUGUAUAAUGGGUCAGCGACUUAUAUUCUGUAGCAAGGUUAACCGUAUAGGGGAGCCGCAGGGAAACCGAGUCUUAACUGGGCGUUAAGUUGCAGGGUAUAGACCCGAAACCCGGUGAUCUAGCCAUGGGCAGGUUGAAGGUUGGGUAACACUAACUGGAGGACCGAACCGACUAAUGUUGAAAAAUUAGCGGAUGACUUGUGGCUGGGGGUGAAAGGCCAAUCAAACCGGGAGAUAGCUGGUUCUCCCCGAAAGCUAUUUAGGUAGCGCCUCGUGAAUUCAUCUUCGGGGGUAGAGCACUGUUUCGGCUAGGGGGUCAUCCCGACUUACCAACCCGAUGCAAACUACGAAUACCGAAGAAUGUUAUCACGGGAGACACACGGCGGGUGCUAACGUCCGUCGUGAAGAGGGAAACAACCCAGACCGCCAGCUAAGGUCCCAAAGUCAUGGUUAAGUGGGAAACGAUGUGGGAAGGCACAGACAGCCAGGAUGUUGGCUUAGAAGCAGCCAUCAUUUAAAGAAAGCGUAAUAGCUCACUGGUCGAGUCGGCCUGCGCGGAAGAUGUAACGGGGCUAAACCAUGCACCGAAGCUGCGGCAGCGACACUAUGUGUUGUUGGGUAGGGGAGCGUUCUGUAAGCCUGCGAAGGUGUGCUGUGAGGCAUGCUGGAGGUAUCAGAAGUGCGAAUGCUGACAUAAGUAACGAUAAAGCGGGUGAAAAGCCCGCUCGCCGGAAGACCAAGGGUUCCUGUCCAACGUUAAUCGGGGCAGGGUGAGUCGACCCCUAAGGCGAGGCCGAAAGGCGUAGUCGAUGGGAAACAGGUUAAUAUUCCUGUACUUGGUGUUACUGCGAAGGGGGGACGGAGAAGGCUAUGUUAGCCGGGCGACGGUUGUCCCGGUUUAAGCAUGUAGGCUGGUUAUCCAGGCAAAUCCGGAUAAUCAAGGCUGAGGUGUGAUGACGAGGCACUACGGUGCUGAAGUAACAAAUGCCCUGCUUCCAGGAAAAGCCUCUAAGCAUCAGGUAACAUUAAAUCGUACCCCAAACCGACACAGGUGGUCAGGUAGAGAAUACCAAGGCGCUUGAGAGAACUCGGGUGAAGGAACUAGGCAAAAUGGUGCCGUAACUUCGGGAGAAGGCACGCUGGUGUGUAGGUGAAGUCCCUGCGGAUGGAGCUGAGACCAGUCGAAGAUACCAGCUGGCUGCAACUGUUUAUUAAAAACACAGCACUGUGCAAACACGAAAGUGGACGUAUACGGUGUGACGCCUGCCCGGUGCCGGAAGGUUAAUUGAUGGGGUUAUCCGUAAGGAGAAGCUCUUGAUCGAAGCCCCGGUAAACGGCGGCCGUAACUAUAACGGUCCUAAGGUAGCGAAAUUCCUUGUCGGGUAAGUUCCGACCUGCACGAAUGGCGUAAUGAUGGCCAGGCUGUCUCCACCCGAGACUCAGUGAAAUUGAACUCGCUGUGAAGAUGCAGUGUACCCGCGGCAAGACGGAAAGACCCCGUGAACCUUUACUAUAGCUUGACACUGAACAUUGAGCCUUGAUGUGUAGGAUAGGUGGGAGGCUUUGAAGCGUGGACGCCAGUCUGCGUGGAGCCAACCUUGAAAUACCACCCUUUAAUGUUUGAUGUUCUAACGUUGGCCCCUUACCGGGGUUGCGGACAGUGUCUGGUGGGUAGUUUGACUGGGGCGGUCUCCUCCUAAAGCGUAACGGAGGAGCACGAAGGUUAGCUAAUCCUGGUCGGACAUCAGGAGGUUAGUGCAAUGGCAUAAGCUAGCUUGACUGCGAGCGUGACGGCGCGAGCAGGUGCGAAAGCAGGUCAUAGUGAUCCGGUGGUUCUGAAUGGAAGGGCCAUCGCUCAACGGAUAAAAGGUACUCCGGGGAUAACAGGCUGAUACCGCCCAAGAGUUCAUAUCGACGGCGGUGUUUGGCACCUCGAUGUCGGCUCAUCACAUCCUGGGGCUGAAGUAGGUCCCAAGGGUAUGGCUGUUCGCCAUUUAAAGUGGUACGCGAGCUGGGUUUAGAACGUCGUGAGACAGUUCGGUCCCUAUCUGCCGUGGGCGCUGGAGAAUUGAGGGGGGCUGCUCCUAGUACGAGAGGACCGGAGUGGACGCAUCACUGGUGUUCGGGUUGUCAUGCCAAUGGCACUGCCCGGUAGCUAAAUGCGGAAGAGAUAAGUGCUGAAAGCAUCUAAGCACGAAACUUGCCCCGAGAUGAGUUCUCCCUGAGACUUUAAGUCUCCUGAAGGAACGUUAAAGACGAUGACGUUGAUAGGCCGGGUGUGUAAGCGCAGCGAUGCGUUGAGCUAACCGGUACUAAUGAACCGUGAGGCUUAACCUU
Molecule: ribosomal RNA, 2900 nt
Filed under: Klebsiella pneumoniae
Lineage: Bacteria; Pseudomonadati; Pseudomonadota; Gammaproteobacteria; Enterobacterales; Enterobacteriaceae
Description: bacterial LSU rRNA
Rfam family: Bacterial large subunit ribosomal RNA
Source: RNAcentral